GGGCGUAAAGCGUGCGCAGGCGGUUUUGUAAGUCAGAUGUGAAAUCCCCGAGUUUAACUUGGGAACUGCGUUUGAAACUACAAGACUAGGAGUGUGUCAGAGGGGGGUAGAAUUCCACGUGUAGCAGUGAAAUGCGUAGAGAUGUGGAGGAAUACCAAUGGCGAAGGCAGCCCCCUGGGAUAACACUGACGCUCAUGCACGAAAGCGUGGGGAGCAAACAGGAUUAGAUACCCUGGUAGUCCACGCCGUAAACUAUGAUCACUCGUUGCUAGCGAUACACUGUUAGUGACCAAGCGAAAGUGUUAAGUGAUCCACCUGGGAAGUACGUUCGCAAGAAUGAAACUCAAAGGAAUUGACGGGGGCCCGCACAAGCGGUGGAGCAUGUGGUUUAAUUCGAUGCAACGCGAAGAACCUUACCUACUCUUGACAUACUAGGACCGCCAGAGAGAUUUGGCUUUCACUUCGGUGACCUAGUGACAGGUGCUGCAUGGCU
Molecule: ribosomal RNA, 493 nt
Filed under: uncultured beta proteobacterium
Lineage: Bacteria; Pseudomonadati; Pseudomonadota; Betaproteobacteria
Description: bacterial SSU rRNA
Rfam family: Bacterial small subunit ribosomal RNA
Source: RNAcentral